GACAGAGGGUGCAAACGUUGUUCGGAAUUACUGGGCGUAAAGCGAGUGUAGGCGGUUUGGUAAGUCGGAUGUGAAAGCCCCGGGCUCAACCCGGGAAGUGCACUCGAUACUGCCAAGCUAGAGUAUCGGAGAGGUGAGUGGAAUUCCCAGUGUAGAGGUGAAAUUCGUAGAUAUUGGGAAGAACACCGGUGGCGAAGGCGGCUCACUGGCUCAUUACUGACGCUCAUGCGCGACAGCGUGGGGAUCAAACAGG
This 253-nucleotide ribosomal RNA is filed under the name uncultured bacterium. RNAcentral's name for it is "partial 16S ribosomal RNA". It matches the Rfam family "Bacterial small subunit ribosomal RNA", at positions 524 to 776 of the family's 1533-position model. The record is from RNAcentral.